RNA transcript from Astyanax mexicanus (Mexican tetra), 2669 nucleotides. RefSeq lists it as uncharacterized. The transcript has 8 exons. The record is from RefSeq and is a predicted model, not a curated record. NCBI's taxonomy places the organism in Eukaryota, Metazoa, Chordata, Actinopteri, Characiformes, Acestrorhamphidae.
CAGUACUGCUGGAUGCUGUUUGAAGGUGGUUUAGAUGGUAUAUUUGUGAGAGCGGUGAGUUAAGGUUGGGUGCAGUACUGCUGGAUGCAGUUUGAAGGUGGUUUAGAUGGUGUUGUAGUUGUGAGAGCGGUGAGUAAAGGUUGGGUACAGUACUGCUGAAUACUGUUUGAAGGUGGUUUAGAUGGUGUUGUAGUUGUGAGAGCGGUGAGUAAAGGUUGGGUGCAGUACUGCUGGAUGCUGUUUGAAGGUGGUUUAGAUGGUGUUGUAGUUGUGAGAGCGGUGAGUAAAGGUUGGGUACAGUACUGCUGGAUACUGUUUGAAGGUGGUUUAGAUGGUGUUGUAGUUGUGAGAGUGGUGAGUAAAGGUUGGGUACAGUACUGCUGGAUGCAGUUUGAAGGUGGUUUAGAUGGUAUAUUUGUGAGAGCGGUGAGUAAAGGUUGGGUACAGUACUGCUGGAUGCAGUUUGAAGGUGGUUUAGAUGGUGUUGUAGUUGUGAGAGCGGUGAGUAAAGGUUGGGUACAGUACUGCUGGAUGCAGUUUGAAGGUGGUUUAGAUGGUGUUGUAGUUGUGAGAGCGGUGAGUAAAGGUUGGGUACAGUACUGCUGGAUGCUGUUUGAAGGUGGUUUAGAUGGUGUUGUAGUUGUGAGAGCGGUGAGUAAAGGUUGGGUACAGUACUGCUGGAUGCUGUUUGAAGGUGGUGUAGAUGGUGUUGUAGUUUAGAUGCAGUUUGAAGGUAGUUUAGAUGGUGUUGUAGUUGUGAGAGCAGUGAGUAAAGGUUGGGUACAGUAAUGCUGGAUGCUGUUUGAAGGUGGUUUAGAUGGUGUUGUAGUUGUGAAAGUGGUAAGUAAAGGUUGGUCACAGUACUGCUGGAUUCAGUUUGAAGGUGGUUUAGAUGGUAUAUUUGUGAGAGCGGUGAGUAAAGGUUGGGUACAGUACUGCUGGAUACUGUUUGAAGGUGGUUUAGAUGGUGUUGUAGUUGUGAGAGUGGUGAGUAAAGGUUGGGUACAGUACUGCUGGAUGCCGUUUGAAGGUGGUUUAGAUGGUGUUGUAGUUGUGAGAGCAGUGAGUACAGGUUGGGUACAGUAAUGCUGGAUGCUGUUUGAAGGUGGUUUAGAUGGUGUUGUAGUUGUGAAAGUGGUAAGUAAAGGUUGGUCACAGUACUGCUGGAUUCAGUUUGAAGGUGGUUUAGAUGGUAUAUUUGUGAGAGCGGUGAGUAAAGGUUGGGUACAGUACUGCUGGAUACUGUUUGAAGGUGGUUUAGAUGGUGUUGUAGUUGUGAGAGUGGUGAGUAAAGGUUGGGUACAGUACUGCUGGAUGCAGUUUGAAGGUGGUUUAGAUGGUGUUGUAGUUGUGAGAGCGGUGAGUAAAGGUUGGGUACAGUACUGCUGGAUGCUGUUUGAAGGUGGUUUAGAUGGUAUAUUUGUGAGAGCGGUGAGUAAAGGUUGGGUGCAGUACUGCUGGAUGCUGUUUGAAGGUGGUUUAGAUGGUGUUGUAGUUGUGAGAGCGGUAAGUAAAGGUUGGUCACAGUACUGCUGGAUUCAGUUUGAAGGUGGUUUAGAUGGUAUAUUUGUGAGAGCGGUAAGUAAAGGUUGGUCACAGUACUGCUGGAUUCAGUUUGAAGGUGGUUUAGAUGGUAUAUUUGUGAGAGCGGUGAGUAAAGGUUGGGUAUAGUACUGCUGGAUACUGUUUGAAGGUGGUUUAGAUGGUGUUGUAGUUGUGAGAGCGGUGAGUAAAGGUUGGGUACAGUACUGCUGGAUACUGUUUGAAGGUGGUUUAGAUGGUGUUGUAGUUGUGAGAGCAGUGAGUAAAGGUUGGGUACAGUACUGCUGGAUGCAGUUUGAAGGUGGUUUAGAUGGUAUAUUUGUGAGAGCGGUGAAUAAAGGUUGGCUACAGUACUGCUGGAUGCUGUUUGAAGGUGGUUUAGAUGGUGUUGUAGUUGUGAGAGCGGUGAGUAAAGGUUGGGUACAGUACUGCUGGAUACUGUUUGAAGGUGGUUUAGAUGGUGUUGUAGUUGUGAGAGCAGUGAGUAAAGGUUGGGUAAAGUACUGCUGGAUGCAGUUUGAAGGUGGUUUAGAUGGUAUAUUUGUGAGAGCGGUAAGUAAAGGUUGGUCACAGUACUGCUGGAUUCAGUUUGAAGGUGGUUUAGAUGGUAUAUUUGUGAGAGCAGUGAGUAAAGGUUGGGUACAGUACUGCUGGAUACUGUUUGAAGGUGGUUUAGAUGGUGUUGUAGUUGUGAGAGCAGUGAGUAAAGGUUGGGUAAAGUACUGCUGGAUGCAGUUUGAAGGUGGUUUAGAUGGUAUAUUUGUGAGAGCGGUGAGUAAAGGUUGGGUAUAGUACUGCUGGAUACUGUUUGAAGGUGGUUUAGAUGGUGUUGUAGUUGUGAGAGCGGUGAGUAAAGGUUGGGUACAGUACUGCUGGAUACUGUUUGAAGGUGGUUUAGAUGGUGUUGUAGUUGUGAGAGCAGUGAGUAAAGGUUGGGUACAGUACUGCUGGAUGCAGUUUGAAGGUGGUUUAGAUGGUAUAUUUGUGAGAGCGGUGAAUAAAGGUUGGCUACAGUACUGCUGGAUGCUGUUUGAAGGUGGUUUAGAUGGUGUUGUAGUUGUGAGAGCGGUGAGUAAAGGUUGGGUACAGUACUGCUGGAUACUGUUUGAAGGUGGUUUAGAGGGUGU